Molecule: ribosomal RNA, 1519 nt
Filed under: uncultured prokaryote
Description: partial 16S ribosomal RNA
Rfam family: Bacterial small subunit ribosomal RNA
Source: RNAcentral
GCUCAGAUUGAGCGCUGGCGGCAGGCCUAACACAUGCAAGUCGAGCGGAAACGAUGGAAGCUUGCUUCCAGGCGUCGAGCGGCGGACGGGUGAGAAAUGCGCAGGAAUUUGCCCAGCAGAGGGGGGUAGCCCGGAGAAAUUCGGAUUAAUACCGCAUAUACCCUACGGGGGAAAGGGCCUCUCCUUGGAAUCUCUUGCUGUUGGAUGAGCCUGCGCCGGAUUAGCUAGUUGGUAGGGUAAAGGCCUACCAAGGCGACGAUCCGUAGCUGGUCUGAGAGGAUGAUCAGCCACACUGGAACUGAGACACGGUCCAGACUCCUACGGGAGGCAGCAGUGGGGAAUAUUGGACAAUGGGCGCAAGCCUGAUCCAGCCAUGCCGCGUGUGUGAAGAAGGCUCUAGGGUUGUAAAGCACUUUAAGUUGGGAGGAAAAGUGUACAGUUAAUACCUGUAUGCCGUGACGUUACCUACAGAAGAAGGACCGGCUAACUCCGUGCCAGCAGCCGCGGUAAUACGGAGGGUCCGAGCGUUAAUCGGAAUUACUGGGCGUAAAGAGCGUGUAGGCGGUUUUAUAAGUUGGAUGUGAAAUCCCUAGGCUUAACCUGGGAACUGCAUUCAAAACUGCAUGACUAGAGUACGGUAGAGGGGGGUAGAAUUUCAGGUGUAGCGGUGAAAUGCGUAGAUAUCUGAAGGAAUACCAGUGGCGAAGGCGGCCCCCUGGAUCGAUACUGACGCUGAGACGCGAAAGCGUGGGGAGCAAACAGGAUUAGAUACCCUGGUAGUCCACGCCGUAAACGAUGAGAACUAGCCGUUGGGAGCCUUGAGCUCUUUGUGGCGCAGCUAACGCACUAAGUUCUCCGCCUGGGGAGUACGGUCGCAAGUUUAAAACUCAAAUGAAUUGACGGGGGCCCGCACAAGCGGUGGAGCAUGUGGUUUAAUUCGAUGCAACGCGAAGAACCUUACCAAUCCUUGACAUCCAGAGAAGAUUGCAGAGAUGCGAUUGUGCCUUCGGGAACUCUGUGACAGGUGCUGCAUGGCUGUCGUCAGCUCGUGUUGUGAAAUGUUGGGUUAAGUCCCGUAACGAGCGCAACCCCUAUCCUUAGUUACCAGCGGUUCGGCCGGGAACUCUAGGGAGACUGCCGGUGACAAACCGGAGGAAGGUGGGGACGACGUCAAGUCAUCAUGGCCCUUACGGAUUGGGCUACACACGUGCUACAAUGGGGUAUACAGAGGGCUGCAAUCCCGCGAGGGGGAGCGAAUCCCAAAAAACUUUUCGUAGUCCGGAUAGGAGUCUGCAACUCGACUCCUUGAAGUCGGAAUCGCUAGUAAUCGCGGAUCAGAAUGCCGCGGUGAAUACGUUCCCGGGCCUUGUCCACACCGCCCGUCACACCAUGGGAGUGGGUUGCACCAGAAGUAGCUCCCUUUAUUGGGAGGAGGACGGUUACCACGGUGUGAUUCAUGACUGGGACGAAGUCGUAACAAGGUAGCCGUAGGGGAACCUGCGGCUGGAUCACCUCCUUU